CAGCAGCCGCGGUAAUACGUAGGGGGCGAGCGUUGUCCGGAAUUACUGGGCGUAAAGGGUGCGUAGGCGGAUAUGCAAGUCCGAUGUGAAAUGUUACGGCUUAACCGUGGAGUUGCAUUGGAAACUGUGUAUCUAGAGUGCAGGAGAGGGAAGCGGAAUUCCUAGUGUAGCGGUGAAAUGCGUAGAUAUUAGGAGGAACACCAGUGGCGAAGGCGGCUUCCUGGACUGCAACUGACGCUGAGGCACGAAAGCUGGGUUAGCGAACAGGAUUAGAUACCCUGGUAGUCCCAGCCGUAAACGAUGGGUACUAGGUGUUGUCACUUCAUUGUGGCAGUGCCGGAGUUAACGCAAUAAGUACCCCGCCUGGGGAGUACGGCCGCAAGGCUGAAACUCAAAGGAAUUGACGGGGGCCCGCACAAGCGGUGGAGCAUGUGGUUUAAUUCGACGCAACGCGUAGAACCUUACCAGGGCUUGACAUCCCUCUGACGGGCAUAGAGAUAUGCCAUCCCUUCGGGGCAGAGGAGACAGGAGGUGCAUGGCC
RNAcentral lists this ribosomal RNA (541 nucleotides) under uncultured archaeon. Its description in RNAcentral is "bacterial SSU rRNA". It matches the Rfam family "Bacterial small subunit ribosomal RNA", at positions 509 to 1050 of the family's 1533-position model. The record is from RNAcentral.